GAUGAACGCUGGCGGCGUGCUUAACACAUGCAAGUCGAACGGAAAGGCCAGUGCUUGCACUGGUACUCGAGUGGCGAACGGGUGAGUAACACGUGGGUGAUCUGCCCUGCACUUCGGGAUAAGCCUGGGAAACUGGGUCUAAUACCGGAUAGGACAAUGGUUUGGAUGCCGUUGUGGAAAGUUUUUUCGGUGUGGGAUGAGCUCGCGGCCUAUCAGCUUGUUGGUGGGGUAAUGGCCUACCAAGGCGUCGACGGGUAGCCGGCCUGAGAGGGUGUACGGCGACAUUGGGAAUGAGAUACGGCCCAGACUCCUACGGGAGGCAGCAGUGGGGAAUAUUGCACAAUGGGCGCAAGCCUGAUGCAGCGACGCCGCGUGGGGGAUGACGGCCUUCGGGUUGUAAACUCCUUUCGCUAGGGACGAAGCGUAUUUGUGACGGUACCUGGAGAAGAAGCACCGGCUAACUACGUG
RNAcentral lists this ribosomal RNA (468 nucleotides) under uncultured bacterium. RNAcentral describes it as "partial 16S ribosomal RNA". It matches the Rfam family "Bacterial small subunit ribosomal RNA", at positions 28 to 507 of the family's 1533-position model. The record is from RNAcentral.